RNAcentral lists this ribosomal RNA (468 nucleotides) under uncultured bacterium. RNAcentral describes it as "partial 16S ribosomal RNA". It matches the Rfam family "Bacterial small subunit ribosomal RNA", at positions 28 to 507 of the family's 1533-position model. The record is from RNAcentral.
GACGAACGCUGGCGGCGUGCUUAACACAUGCAAGUCGAACGGAAAGGCCCUGCUUUUGUGGGGUGCUCGAGUGGCGAACGGGUGAGUAACACGUGAGUAACCUGCCCUUGACUUUGGGAUAACUUCAGGAAACUGGGGCUAAUACCGGAUAGGAGCUCCUGCUGCAUGGUGGGGGUUGGAAAGUUUCGGCGGUUGGGGUUGGACUCGCGGCUUAUCAGCUUGUUGGUGGGGUAGUGGCUUACCAAGGCUUUGACGGGUAGCCGGCCUGAGAGGGUGACCGGCCACAUUGGGACUGGGGUGCGGCCCAGACUCCUACGGGAGGCAGCAGUGGGGAAUAUUGCACAAUGGGCGGAAUCCUGAUGCAGCAACGCCGCGUGCGGGAUGACGGCCUUCGGGUUGUAAACCGCUUUCGCCUGUAACGAAGCGUGAGUGACGGUAAUGGGUAAAGAAGCACCGGCUAACUACGUG